AAUAGCACUUUGGCAUUUCUUAACAUACUUAUCGUGUCAAAUUGUAUAUUAUAGUUAUUCCUGUGUCUCUCUUCUCCAUGUAGGUUUUCUCUUCCUUCUCUCCAAAGCACAAGCACCCAUUCCAGUCCUUUAUCCCUAAGGAAGGAGCAGGGUCCAGCAUCUGGCAGAAAAGGCCCAGCCUAAGCAUUGGGUGGUCAUAUGAAGGAAUAGCUGGGCACUGAAAGUAUCAUUUCAGAAAGUGUGGUCCAGUGGGAAAAAAGAGAUAAGAAAACAAAAACAUGACAUUUGGGACUGGGAUUUGAAUCCAGAUGAGGAAACCAAGGCCCAAGGAUACAGAUGUGACCACACAGCUAACUUCUCCUCAAUCUCCUUGCUUUACGGAGGAGGGUCUAGGCUGGCUUAGAAUUUCAUUCCCAUUUGCAUGUAAAUGGUCACACAACUCAUCUAAUCAUGGAAAGGAAGAGAAAGAAGAAGAAAGGGAGAAGUGAAAAUAACUUACCUCUAUGGCUGGCCAGGAGUGACAAGCAAUCUCUGUGUAACUUCCAUGAAUCCAGCAGUGGCUAGGUGAGAGUAUUUUUCUAUACUACCCCAAGCCAAAUGUAAUGACAAGAGUUCAAGUGACCAGGAGUCAAGCCACCAAUGAUCUAGUCUUCACUCGACCAUUGACUUGCUCUGUGACCUUGAGC
This 686-nucleotide long non-coding RNA is filed under the name Phascolarctos cinereus (koala). Its description in RNAcentral is "lncRNA (ENSPCIG00000032548.1)". Lineage: Eukaryota; Metazoa; Chordata; Mammalia; Diprotodontia; Phascolarctidae. The record is from RNAcentral.